Molecule: non-coding RNA, 1587 nt
Organism: Prunus avium (sweet cherry)
Lineage: Eukaryota; Viridiplantae; Streptophyta; Magnoliopsida; Rosales; Rosaceae
Source: RefSeq, a predicted model, not a curated record
UGAAAACAGUCGUGUUUUAUAGCACGCUGGACCCAAAAUUCACUUAAGUUUUCGCAGCUCUCUCCCAAACCACACUCUCUCGCGACCUUUAGAAACCCUCUCUCUCUCAAUUCUCUUUCUCAUCGCUGAAACACCAUCUCCAUCGCGCCGUCUUGGUCACUAAGCUCGCCAUCCAAGUCACAGAUCUUGGCAUCCAGUUCACUAAGGUCGUCAUAUCCCUUGACGAGGACCCUCCACAAUCUUCGCGAUCUCCUUCAUGAGGCCUCUCUCGAUCCCACUCGUCUCUUCUGUUCCAGGCUUCGCCUUCUCUUCUUUGACCCGUUCUUCAGUAAAUUUGAGGUUUCGUUUUGGUCUUUAUCUUACUUUUGUUUGGGCGAUUUCAAAGAUUUGCAAGCGACGCUUAUCGGUGGUGGUUACGAGUUGGAUCAUCAUUGUGUAAUCACGAUUCUGUUAGCCGUUGCGCUUAGGUCCAAGUCUGACGAUGUUGUGGGUUGUGAGUGUAUAUGUGCUUCUGUUUUUAAUUUAUUUCUAUCUAUUUUGCUUAUUUUCUAAAUUAUUUUCUAUUUCCUGCCAUUUUUGUUUCAAAGAGUAUAGAUCUUCAUAGGUUGUAACACAAAAUCUGUUGAUCUUUUCCUUUUCCCCUUUCUGCUGGUGUUGAUUGAGAUUUUUUUUUUUGUUUUUUUUUUUUCUGUCUGAAGCUUUUUUCCUCCUGUUUUUGUGUCUUUGUCUACCAGUCACACUGCAUCAAUUGCAGCGGAAAUAAUGGAAUUCUCGUGAGAAUGCAUGGUCAUGAAUUUGGGAAAGCAAGUGGGAUGGGGAGUCUUUUGUUGUGUGUGGGGUUUUUGUUUAAAGUAAUGCCAUGCUCUAGUUUAAGGGUUUAUUUGGAGGCAAGACAGAGUUUGACACAGGUGUAAUUCUUUAAUUUGAGUUAUCCAUUUUUAUAUUUGUGUUUAUGCUUCUUUGUCCAAAUUUUGGUCUGUCACAGGGAAAAGAAACUUGAAAGUGCUUUCUUGGUGGAUUUCCAGGAUGCACUUUGACUUAUAGUACAACGUUGUAAUAAAUUUUGUGAUGUUGACAUAUGUUUUUCAUUUUUGGAUAUGGAGUAUUUUGUUUGAAUUUUAUCUAGUUUUCAAGUACUUUACGAAGGAUAAAGAUGCUUGAAUUUUUUUUUUUUUGGGCAUAUUAUAGGAUUUUUUAUUGUGGUUAUAUUGAUUCCAUGACUCUUCUCUUAGUUUGAAUUCUGGACUGUUGAUAUGGUUCAAAGGAGAAGACCUUCUCUUUCUCUUCUUCAUCAAUGGUGUGUGAAGUGCAAAAUGGGGCAGAGAUUGUGAACUAUUUCUUCCUGCACUGUCUAAUUGUCUUACCCCUUUGGUUAAAGCUAUUCAGGGAGGCCAAUUUGUGUUGCGUUAUCAUAGUUGAGUGUGGAUUUCUUUUGUUAGAGGCAUAAGUUUUUUGGUGGGAGGAAGAAGGGUAUGGUUCUAAAAGAUGUGUGGUGAUGGCUAUUGUUUGGGUAGUUUGUGGGGAGAUGAGAGUAAGAUAUUUGACAAGUGAGGGGUGAGGAGGUGGAUUAUCUGUGGGAAAGCGUUU